GUGUCAGCCGCCGCGGUAAUACGGAGGGUGCAAGCGUUGUUCGGAAUUACUGGGCGUAAAGCGCGUGCAGGCGGCCGAUUAAGUCCGGUGUGAAAGCCCGGGGCUCACCCCCGGAAGUGCGCUGGAAACUGAUCGGCUAGAGUGCGGGAGAGGGAAGCGGAAUUCCUGGUGUAGCGGUGAAAUGCGUAGAUAUCAGGAGGAACACCGGCGGCGAAGGCGGCUUCCUGGACCGACACUGACGCUGAGACGCGAAAGCGUGGGGAGCAAACAGGAUUAGAAACCCCCGUAGUCC
RNAcentral lists this ribosomal RNA (292 nucleotides) under uncultured bacterium. RNAcentral describes it as "partial 16S ribosomal RNA". It matches the Rfam family "Bacterial small subunit ribosomal RNA", at positions 505 to 796 of the family's 1533-position model. The record is from RNAcentral.